AAAUGGGCCAUACUGUCUCAAAGAUGAGACCGGAUGGAGAUGCUGCAGGGAAGGUCCCUGAGCCUGGCAUCCAGCAGGAGGCUGUGGGCAGAGAAGAAGAGAGGGAGGUCUCUGACUCACCGAGAGCCUACAGAGAUGAGACAGAAAACGGUGCAGGACAGAAGGCAACACUGGUCUUGUUGGAGGCUUAUAGGAACGUGGUGACCAGACCAACGCCGACAGCUGAGAGAACAAAGGAUUUGGCACCAGGAAGUUUGCAACGACCAGCCACACCCCCUCCCCUUUCAGUGUAACAAUCUGAGUUCUAACUCGGGUAAGAUGGGUCUUUGGGACAACAGUGGGCCAUCUUCACAGUCUGCUGGCUCUCUGAAUCAAGUCACUAUUCCUUGCCCCAACACCUCAUCUUUCCCUUGUCCUGAGGCGAGCAGUGUGACCUAUAAAAUCCUACUUCCUUCCAGCCAGAGGCCACCCCCGCCGUCUCCCUGCUCCAGCUCAGAAAGGCAACAGAGGGACCGAGGCCUGAGUUCUCUGUGGGUUCCACAAGGGUCCUGCGGCCAGAUGGGACCACCGCAAUCCAGGCCCGGCCACCUCCCAGCCGUGCGGCCAGGGGCAGCUGCUUCUCCCCUCUGAGUCUUGGUUUUCUCAUCUGUAAAAAGGGGUUGCAGGGUUCCCGGAUGAUUCCCCGGCCUUCUGAAGGCUCAAGUUCCCAGGGGGCGCUCAGCCUGGCCCCCCCACCCCCCAGAGCCUUCUGCUGUCUCAGUCUCCCUGUCUGCCCUCCAAGCCUGGUGAGGGAGUGUCUGCCCUUAGGGUGCGGCCUGCCCAGGCCCAGGGAACCACCUCCUGAGAAAAGAGAAUUUCAGGUGACAGGAGCCCCUCCUGGUCCUUGCCUAUGGCGGUGCGUGUGUGCGUGCGUGCGUGCGUGCGUGCGUGCGUAUGGGUGUGGGUGUGGGCGUGAACAGUGGCACUGCUUUGCCACCGGCCCCUCACCGUUCUCCUUUACACCCCUAAAGCACCCCAGAUACAACUUAAUAAGAGUAUCCUAAUUACUAUUAUUAUUAUUUCCUCUUUUGCUAGCAAUAGUAUAUUUUAAUAAUUUGCUAUGGACAAGUGUCGCUCUCCAUCUCCUAAAAA
Long non-coding RNA from Camelus dromedarius (Arabian camel), 1131 nucleotides. RefSeq lists it as uncharacterized. The transcript has 2 exons. Lineage: Eukaryota; Metazoa; Chordata; Mammalia; Artiodactyla; Camelidae. The record is from RefSeq and is a predicted model, not a curated record.